RNAcentral lists this unclassified non-coding RNA (239 nucleotides) under Chalara sp. RNAcentral's name for it is "partial contains 5.8S ribosomal RNA, internal transcribed spacer 2, and large subunit ribosomal RNA". The record is from RNAcentral. Lineage: Eukaryota; Fungi; Ascomycota; Leotiomycetes; Helotiales.
CGCACAUUGCGCCCCUUGGUAUUCCGGGGGGCAUGCCUGUUCGAGCGUCAUUUCAACCCUCAAGCUUUGCUUGGUCUUGGGCCCUGCCGGCGACGGCUGGCCUAAAACGCAGUGGCGGUGCCUCUGAGCUCUACGCGUAGUAAUCUUUUCUCGCGAUUGGGUUUUGGGGGACGCUUGCCAGCAAUCCUCAUUUUUUUUUGGUUGACCUCGGAUCAGGUAGGGAUACCCGCUGAACUUAA